GGGGGGUUAGCUCAGAUGGGAGAGCGGCACGUUCGCAACGUGCAGGCCACCGGUUCGAUCCCGGUACCCUCCACCA
Molecule: transfer RNA, 76 nt
Filed under: Deltaproteobacteria bacterium GWA2_55_82
Lineage: Bacteria; Deltaproteobacteria
Also listed under: 5 other names
Description: tRNA-Ala
Rfam family: tRNA
About the family: Transfer RNA (tRNA) molecules are approximately 80 nucleotides in length.
Source: RNAcentral